Non-coding RNA from Staphylococcus saprophyticus, 420 nucleotides. It matches the Rfam family "RNAIII". From Rfam's summary of the family: This family represents RNAIII which is known to regulate the expression of many Staphylococcus aureus genes encoding exoproteins and cell wall associated proteins. In S.aureus, RNAIII acts as the effector of the agr system and is transcribed from the P3 operon. Lineage: Bacteria; Bacillati; Bacillota; Bacilli; Caryophanales; Staphylococcaceae. The record is from Rfam.
UCUUCGUAUAGUUGUUAUAGUUACACAAUUAGUACUCGUUUUUUCAAUUAAUUGAUUACAAACAAGAGGAGGCUGAUGUAGUGACAAACCAUUUCUCAGCAGUAAUUAGUGAUUUCGUAAAAUAAUACUUUCAGGUACACAACGCGCUUAAGCAAAUUAAGCAAUCCCUAAUUUGAAUUUGUAGAACAUUCCCAGUCUCAAUUCAAAUAUCAUUUUAACAUUGUCUAUAACAGAGACAAUUAAAGUUUUAACAUGUAAGCUAUCGUAAACAUCAUUCAAUUUAUCAUUUUAAAUCGGUAAAUUCACUAAAUUUUUUCAUAAUUAAUAACAUCCCCAAAAAUAGAUAGAGAAAUAACUGUAAAAACAUUCCCUUAAUAAUAAGUUACAAAAACCGUGAGUCCCUCCCAAGCUCACGGUUUU